GUCCACGCUGUAAACGAUGGCAACUGGGUGUCUCGGGUAUUGACCCCCGAUGCGCCGAAGUCAACACGUUAAGUUGCCCGCCUGGGAAGUACGGCCGCAAGGCUAAAACUCAAAGGAAUUGACGGGGGCCCGCACAAGCGGUGGAGCAUGUGGUUUAAUUCGACGAAACGCGAAGAACCUUACCUGGACUCGAAAAUGCAGGAAGUUGGCUGAAAGGCUGAUGUGCUCGCAAGAGAGCCUGUAUCAGGUGCUGCAUGGCUGUCGU
Molecule: ribosomal RNA, 265 nt
Filed under: uncultured bacterium
Lineage: Bacteria
Description: partial 16S ribosomal RNA
Rfam family: Bacterial small subunit ribosomal RNA
Source: RNAcentral